UUCUUCUAGCCGUUUCCUCUCCACUAUAAAAACCAAACCGCACCCCAAGACUUUCUCAAAAUCCUAACAAGCCAUUUUCUCUCUCGGAGGAUUUUCGUCUCUUCUUUCUCUUAAUUUCGCUCGACGAAGGUCUGCGGCCAUGGCGAGUUUCGAGGAGCAGGUGAAGGAGAGAGCGAAAGAGCUCAAGAUUCUCUUCAAGAAAGGUUUCAAGAUUGUCGGUGAGUCGUGCAAGAAAGGAUGGAACAAAGUCAAACACAUUAGGCGUUGAUAGAUGAUUUCUUCUCCGUUUUCUUCUUUCUCUCUCUGUGUUUUUGCAUCGGUGGUUUGAUUUUCAUCCUCUCUUUAUAGUUUCUUUUUGGAUUUGAUUCGUGUAGGAUUCGUUUCGAUGUAAAGAUUUGAAUCGGUUUGGAUUUUUUGCAGGUUAUAUAAUCUUUGCUUGAUUGAUUUAUAUAUAAUAGAUAACUUUUUUCUUUUCUGGAUAGCUUUUCUUUCUAGUACGAAUUUUGAAUUUUAUUGUUCAGAUUGAAUUUGAACUAUUUUGAUGUUGGUAUAAUAUUGAAAAUUGAGUACUGAUUUGGUAUGAUAAGAAGUUAUCGUUUGCUUUCACUGGUUUUUGCUGUUUAAUUCGUUAAAAAAUAACUGGCUAUCAAAUUUAAUGAUGGAAAAAAGUAGGAAGUCCGAAAAUCGUGAUAAAGUGCGUUUCGUUAGCAAUUGAUUAUCAUUAUCAUGUAUCAUCAUUGAAUAAAUCGGACCAGGAAGGAACUUUCUACUUUCUUCUUUUGAUUAUUUAGGGUUGAUUAUAAAAAGAUUGAUUGUUUUCGUUUCUAGAAAGAUACCAGCAAACUGAUAAUACAUACAUAUAUAUCUUGCAUUAACUCUAAACCUUGAAAAACAGAGUUCUCUGUUUUCCUCUUUUGACUUUCAGGUCAAGUCUAGACUCUUUUUUCCUCUUUCGGGUUUCGACGUUCUCUGCGUAUGUCUCUUCUUGACCGUUAGCUGCCUCUUCUCCUUCUCCUUCUCCUCCUUACACAUUUAUGCAGUCCAUAGUUAAAAGAUUCAUGUAUUUACUAAUCUUUUUCUUUUUUCAUGAGAAACAAAUUUUAAAAAAAAAUUAAUUUAAGUUUCUCAGUCCAUAUCAAACUGGACCAAUCCGAUUCUAAUUUUUAAUCCGAAUCGUUCAGGUCAGUCUGUUCCCAUUCUUGUUCAGGGUCCAAACCGAUGCUAAUCACUAGUUCUAACUUGACAAAUUACGGGUAGGAUUCGUAAUAGUAUUAUUGAAAUAAAUCGAAUUUAAGUAAUCAAUUUAAUUAAAACUGAAUUUUAAAUAAAUCAAGUUCAAAUUUAAGUCUAAAUUUUAUUGCGUUUAAUUUGAUUAAAUACUUAUUAGAAACUUUUAUUUGAUAAUAAUAUAUUUAAAUUAAAAUACAAUUAAUUAUAUUUCUAACUAUAAGCAUUUAAAAUAAAUUUUAAAAAAAAAAUUAAUUAAUUAAAAUACCAUUAGUUAAUAAAACUAAUUUCUUUCAAUUUAUUUAUUUAUUAUAAAAUUAUAAAUUUAAAUACCUGAAAUUGAUUUAAAAACUGAAUAAAACAAACACAUCAUUGUCAAUCAUAAUAUACUCUCUUCAAAAUCAAACUUCUUGAUUUUUUUUUUUUUUUUUUUUUAAACCUUUAG
Molecule: long non-coding RNA, 1672 nt
Filed under: Carica papaya (papaya)
Lineage: Eukaryota; Viridiplantae; Streptophyta; Magnoliopsida; Brassicales; Caricaceae
Description: long non-coding RNA (CPAP_LNC009917)
Source: RNAcentral